GAUCAUGGCUCAGGAUGAACGCUAGCUACAGGUUUAACACAUGCAAGUCGAGGGGCAGCAUGAACUUAGCUUGCUAAGUUUGAUGGCGACCGGCGCACGGGUGAGUAACACGUACCCAACCUGCCGAUGACUCGGGGAUAGCCUUUCGAAAGAAAGAUUAAUACCCGAUGGCAUAGUUCUUCCGCAUGGUAGAACUAUUAAAGAAUUUCGGUCAUCGAUGGGGGUGCGUUCCAUUAGGUUGUUGG
This 245-nucleotide ribosomal RNA is filed under the name uncultured bacterium. Its description in RNAcentral is "partial 16S ribosomal RNA". It matches the Rfam family "Bacterial small subunit ribosomal RNA", at positions 15 to 252 of the family's 1533-position model. The record is from RNAcentral.